This 97-nucleotide ribosomal RNA is filed under the name Psychrobacillus psychrodurans. Its description in RNAcentral is "16S rRNA. Bacterial SSU". It matches the Rfam family "Bacterial small subunit ribosomal RNA", at positions 1 to 92 of the family's 1533-position model. Lineage: Bacteria; Bacillati; Bacillota; Bacilli; Caryophanales; Bacillaceae. The record is from RNAcentral.
AUCUUAUGGAGAGUUUGAUCCUGGCUCAGGACGAACGCUGGCGGCAUGCCUAAUACAUGCAAGUCGAGCGAAUGACGAAGAAGCUUGCUUCUUCUGA